CUAUGUGCAUAUAUGACUACAUGACCAGUGUGACUCUACAUCAUGUACAACCAGAGAAUGAGAAGUUAAACUCCAUUAUGUAUGAUGUGUCAAAGUGCAUGCUACUGUCAUGUAUAACUAAUUAGAAUAAAUAAAUUUUUUAUAAAAGCAUGUACUGCUCUGUGAGAUAUAAUAAUCUUUGGAGAAAACAGUUUUAAAAAGUCGUCUAUCCUAUGCUUCUAUAUGAAGCUCUUGCCUCCUCCUAGAGCUUGUCAGAGAAACAAACAAGCACCCGUCUUACAUCAGGUUGUGCUCAAUCAUGAGAACUAGUUAAAACAGAGAAACAGCUAACAGGAUGUUGAGUGAGGAACUUUUCUAAAAAAAAAAAAGAGGAAACAGAUAACUUGUUAUUAGGAAAGUUUGUAAGGAUUUCACAUACACACUCCAGAGAGACCUGAGACAGUAUGUAAAGUAGAAUCUCAUCUGGUUAAAAUGUUACCAUGUUGUGGAUCUAGUUUGCGGUGGGCUGUCUGUGUUGUUCUUGCUGCCCCUUAUCCAUGUCUAUAGCAACAGAAAAUGGACUAUGACAAAACUGUGUUGCAAAAUGCUAUUGGCAGUUAACUCUUUUUUUUGUUUGUUUGUUUUAAUUAGUUACACAUGACAGUACAAUGACCUUGACAUUCCAUACAUUUGAAUCAGAUGGGAUAUAAUAUCUCAUUUUUCUGAGUGUACAGGUUACAGAAUCACAUUGAUCAUGCAUUCACAUAUAUAUACACAGUAAUAAUAAUGUCUGUUUCAUUCUACUAUCCUUCCUAUCUCCCCAACCCCUCCCCUCUCCUCCCAUCACUUCUCUCUACCUAAUCUAGGGUAAUGAAUAGCAGUUAACUGUAUCCAGAGAUUAUAGGUAAGUUUUGGUUCAUCCUUCUUAGAAUUUUUACAUACUGUUUAUAAUGAGUACAUAUGUCUGUGACAUAAAGAAUGAUAAAAAAUACACUAUUACUUUGAAAAACUAAUUUUUUAGAAGUGAUCUUACCAAGUACAAUGGCACACUCCUAUAAUCCCAGUGGCUGAGGAGGCUGAGACAGGAGGAUGUGAGUUCAAAGCCAGCCUCAGUAAAAGUGAGGUGCUAAGCAACUCAGUGAGACCCUGUCUCUAAAUAAAAUACAAAAUAGGGCUGGGGAUGUGGCUCAGUGGUCAAAUGCCCCUGAGUUCAAUUCCCAGUACCCCUCCCCACCCCGCCAACAAGAAAAAGUGAUCUCUUCAUUCUCAGAUUUGCUGCUAUAAUUACUGUUUGGGCAAUAAUUCACCAAACAAUCAUGAAAUUGAAUUUUAGGUUCCCACUGUUAUUUGACUAUGGGAAUAGAACAUGAAAUGGGAUUUUUUUUUUGUAUCAUCCACUAUUUACUAAGCCUAUUUAUUACUGGAAUAUAGAAUGGAGUCUUCAGGUAUAUUUACUGACAUUAAUUGAAUCCCUGUUUCAUAUUAAUCAGAAAGGCAGAGUAAAGAAACAACAGCAAGGAGAGGCCCCAGCUACAGCAAUAUCCAAAAUGAGUUAAUUGAAAACCCAACGCGGAAGCACUUGGUGCCCACUUGGGUCUGCUUCCUCCAUACAUCAACAGUGGGAAUUCCUGUGGUCACACCACGAUUCUUGGCUUCAGUGUCCAAUUUCAGCCUUACCCAGAUUCAUUUAAAUAAUACAAAUACUACAAACCAGAGAAUCAAGCAACUCCUGGGAAUUUAGAAUACCAAUUAAAAUUCCUGUUAGAGGACUAAUUUGGAAAUAAAACUAUUUUAAAGACUAGUUAGGCAAAUAACAUGCAAAACUUGCAGAAGCAAAAAGAGGUCAGAUGUGAAAGAGGUCAUCCUCAACUAAGUUCCUUACAGUUAAUUUUUUACACAGUAUGGCCAAGAAACCUGAAAUUGUUCAUCUUCCACUCAGUUGAUAAAAAAUGUAAAGGAAACCAGCUACAUAGUACAGCUUUCUUUGAUUUUUUUUUAAAGACUCCAUGUAAAGUUUUAAGAGAGAGAUGAUACAGAACAAAAUAGUCCAUAAUGAAAAUAAGUCCAGUGCUAAAUUAGAAAACUGAAGCAAGCCUGCUUCUGCCUUCAAGUUCAAGGUAACCGGGGCCACAGGGCUCCUCUGCAGAGCGCUGCCACGCAUGGUAAAGCUCAGUGGCUCUGACAAGGAUCUGAACGUGGGGCUCUGAAUUCUGCCCACACUCUAAGAUGAGAGCUGGGAAGAAGCAGGGGGAGUGUGGCCAGGCUUAAAGGAGCUUGAAUCACUUAGGUAAUUGGGCCAGCAGAUGGCAAAUGCAGUUCAUCCUGGAAGACUGAAAUAAUUAGUCUGGGAGAGAGAAGCUAAUCUAGUAAUAAUGAUCUUCCACUUAUGUAGCAUUAUUUUUUACAAAGCACCUUUCACCAAGAGGCCUCUUAAGGCCUUCUGCAACAUGCCUGCAUGCGUGGUGUGUUAAGGUGUCAGCCGCCAGGCGAGAAGCACCCUCCAGGGAGCCUGCAUCCCAAACACUCUGGCCCCGGGGAGGAAGAAGGCAAAAGGGAGGAGGAACCCCAAAGUGGUUCUCCAAAUAGAAGUACCUUGCAGACACUCAGGUGUGGGAACUAAACCAGCAGGCUAUUUAUCAGAGUUUGAUGACUCAUAAAGCAUUAGAAUGUCAUUUGCUUGGGGUAUCAUGAAAAGCACGGGUCAAGCAGAUUUGGAGGUUUAUCUCUAAACAAAGGCUAGAAGAGUUUAGUGUUAUCUUCCUAAAGUGAUGAAGACACAAACUUUUUUUUUUUUAACUUUCAGUUGGCCAAAUGAAACUUUUCAGUUUUGUAGCCAAACUUUGGUAAAUAAUUCCCAGGGUUAAACAGAUACCCCAGCGCGCAGGGCUCCAGGACUGCCCUGUAGCAGACUGCAUGGGUUGGCCUCCUUGAUAGCCAGCUGUCACCUUUUCCUCUCUUCCUAGGACUCAGUCCAAGCAGAGGGUGUUGGAGGGAGUUGUGAGGGGGCUGGGGCUAAUGUACUCCUGCCCCAGGCCCUCCUCCCAGCCCCCUCGAGGAGACAAGCACAGGGGCUCUGAACCAUUUGACAGGCCAGAUCGUCCCUACUUCUAAAACCCACCGAAGUCUCCGGAAGAACAAGCUUGGCUUAUCGAGAGUCCAGGUGGGUAGAUUGCUUGAGUAAGACUGUUAUACAAUCGGACGCCCAGAGAGCAGAGAAGAUGGAACCACCUUGCACAAUUUGGAGGCACUUUAACUUCAAGUUCCAAAAGUUUGUUGUCAGGAAUGAAAAUCUUGGUCUUAUAACCAAGGCAAAGCUUCACCCCAGUCAACUGUCCCAAGAAGAGCAGGUAGGAGAGAGGCCCAUCCCACCUAUGAGUCACAGCACUGUGAGAACAAGGGAAGAGGAGGACCCCAGAGGGAGGGAGGAAGGUGUGAGGAAGGGGGCAGGGAUUCCUGAUUCCAUCCCCCACCCCACCACCACCAAGAGCCUUCUUAUGGCUAAAAGGUGCUGGAAGGUGGAAUCCAGGGCAGUUCCUCACCCACCUCACAAGUGAAGUGGUCUUGGAGAACUUCUGAACCCUCAGUGGCAGGCAGGUAGCAACCUCGGGCUGCAUCAUGUGAAUUCCAGACUGUCUACUGUCUGCCCCCCUUGGCCCCCUUCCUCACUGGGCCAUUCCACCAUCCAGUAUCACAUUUCCAGGAAGAGAGACAUUGACAAAUGGGAUCCACUGUGUGACCUACUUGGUGAGUCCACUGAAACCAAGUCAUCUGAAGAGUACUUUGAGGAAUUGGUUAUUUAUCUUUAAAAGUACUUUGAGGUUAUUUAUCUUUAAAAGUAGAAAACUUAAAGUGUUUUAAAGUAUGAUCAUGCGUAAGAGAGACUCCUCUUAUUCUACUUCUAUAACUCUAGAACAAUCCCAAUGGAGAUAUAAUAUGAAAUAUACAUAUAUAUUAUUUAGCUUUUCUAGGACCCAUAUUUUAAAAAGAGAAACUGGUGGAAUUUGUAUUAAUGAUGUACUUUAUUAAUUCAAUGUAUCUAAAAUGUUAUCAUUCCAACAUACAAUCAACUUUUUAAAGUUAUUGACAUGUUUGGUAUUUUUUUCUUACUAAGUCUUUGAAAUCCAGCCAGUAGUCUACAUAAUUCCCACCGGCCGCACCUCAGGUGCUCGGAAGCCAUGCUGAUCAGCGCAGCUCUGAAGGGUAAAUCAGGCUGUGGUGUCCUGGAACUGGCCUAGUGUCCUGCAUGACCUGAGGUUCUUCUUUCCCUGAAUUGCUGUAAGCCAGGAGGGUUUGCUGAUGAGGACUGGUUUUCACCUGGGUAAAUAUUUCUUCACAGCACGUGGCUCUUGUCCAUGACUUCUAACAACAAGGGACCUUUUCCCAUGGCCCUGUCUCCUUGUCACCUACCCUUCCUUCUACCUGUGGCAGAUGUUCAUGCCUCUGCCCAGCUCUGCUCACCCACUCCUCUGUCACCUUCUAAAUAGGCACUGAAAAGUGGUGACACACUACUGCCCACCAAAGGCAGCUGACACCACCGUUCAACAGCUGUCAAGCACAGGGAAUCAGUCAUUGGGCGUCCGCAUCACAUUAAUGCCCUGUCUUACAGUUGCUGGUGGUGAUACUGGUGUCAUGGUUUUAACAAAUACAGCUACAUAAAUGAUCACGAAAACCAUGCCCUCCAAGACCUGCUCAUCUCUCUCUCAUUCCAAAAAUAUUCUUUAUCGUGUAUUUUGUUCCAGAGAAGCCGUACGGUGUCUUCCCCAAAGAGCACCCCACCAAGAGAAGUCCAAAGCUGGCAACAGGACUCAGAGAAUGGAAGCAAGCCCUAGGACCUGGGAAGCCAAACCCUGCAUUUAUCUUUCCGUGGAGAGCUCAAGGUUGUAAAUCACAGGGGUCUAGGCUGAGAAGUUCAAUCAGUCAAGAUGCAGUGGUAAUGGGUCAAGGUCAUGAGUCAAUCCAAGGACAGGCCAAUUGGCUGUGCUCCACAGUCAAAGGCUAUGCCACACACCUGAUGAUAAAAUGCAAGCUCUUCCCAGGAGCAAGGGGCUGACUUCCUGGAGCCGUCACAAAUGAGGACAAAACUGCUAUGGAGACAGAGCUACCCACCAUCCAGGGCCACAGCACAAGGGUGUAGUAAGUAGCAGGCACAGGUGACACUCACCUGUGCUGCAAGGUUAGACCCAGUUGCACCAUCUGUGUCAGCUCAAUUGCUAGAACAAAAUACCAUAGGCUGGGGACCACAGAAAUUGGUUUUCCCAUAGCUCUGGAGGCUGAAGGUCCGGAUAGGAGUGCCAGCAGAGCAGGGGUCUGGAGAGGGCUCUCUUCCUGGCUGGCAGAUGGCCCUCUGCAGUGCACGGAGAGAUGGGGACACCUUCCUUUCCCUGCAAGACCCCCAGUUCUUGCAGAUUUGAUCCUGCCCUAGGAUCCAACCCUAAUUAUUGCCUCCCAUUCUCAUCUCCAGAAUGCACCCAGGGAGACACCGCACGUGCACAACACGCCUUCCACACGCAACCUGCCAAGCCUCCCCUUGGAGUCUCCACUCCAAAAAGUAAUAACAACAAAGAAUGGAAACGAGAUGUCUCUCCUCCUGAGUGAGACAGCCGAGAAACCCUUUAUUCAAAUCUUUCUCUGGAAACCAGUGGAGUUGAAUGUGUAAAUGAAUAAUAAAAAGAAACCCCCCACACACUCAAGUGGUCAGCUAACUCAACAAGACAAUUUUUUUCUUAGGAGUCUGCAGAUCUGAGCUUCUACCCUGGUGACUGUCACAGUGCCUGCCACUUAACAGAACCUCCAUGUCCAUUGAACAAAUGAACGAUGAAUAUUUUCCAAUGAUGGAAGAUUCAUUAAAAUUAAAAUCAGAAA
Molecule: long non-coding RNA, 5841 nt
Organism: Marmota monax (woodchuck)
Lineage: Eukaryota; Metazoa; Chordata; Mammalia; Rodentia; Sciuridae
Exons: 2
Source: RefSeq, a predicted model, not a curated record